ACGGAAGGCAGCAGUGGGGAAUAUUGCACAAUGGGCGAAAGCCUGAUGCAGCGACGCCGCGUGAACGAAGAAGUAUUUCGGUAUGUAAAGUUCUAUCAGCAGGGAAGAAGAAUGACGGUACCUGACUAAGAAGCACCGGCUAAAUACGUGCCAGCAGCCGCGGUAAUACGAAUGGUGCAAGCGUUAUCCGGAUUUACUGGGUGUAAAGGGAGCGCAGGCGGUAUGGCAAGUCUGAUGUGAAAGCCCGGGGCUCAACCCCGGUACUGCAUUGGAAACUACCAGACUAGAGUGUCGGAGAGGUAAGUGGAAUUCCUAGUGUAGCGGUGAAAUGCGUAGAUAUUAGGAGGAACACCAGUGGCGAAGGCGGCUUACUGGACGAUAACUGACGCUGAGGCUCGAAAGCGUGGGGAGCAAACAGGAUUAGAUACCCUGGUA
This 435-nucleotide ribosomal RNA is filed under the name uncultured Roseburia sp. RNAcentral's name for it is "partial 16S ribosomal RNA". It matches the Rfam family "Bacterial small subunit ribosomal RNA", at positions 341 to 792 of the family's 1533-position model. Lineage: Bacteria; Bacillati; Bacillota; Clostridia; Lachnospirales; Lachnospiraceae. The record is from RNAcentral.